UUAGGAAUAUUCGUCAAUGGGGGAAACCCUGAACGAGCGAUGCCGCGUGAGUGAUGACAGCCCUCUGGGUUGUAAAACUCUGUUGUUUGGGAAGAACAGAGAGAAUAGGAAAUGAUUCUCUUUUGACGGUACCAUUCAAGAAAGCUCCGGCUAACUACGUGCCAGCAGCCGCGGUGAUACGUAGGGAGCGAGCGUUAUCCGGAUUUAUUGGGCGUAAAGCGUGCGCAGCUGGCUUAUUAAGUAUGAAAUUAAAGCCCGGAGCUUAACUCCGGUUCGUUUCAUAAACUGGUAGGCUUGAGUGUGGUAGAGGUAAGUGGAAUUUCUAGUGUAGCGGUAAAAUGCGUAGAUAUUAGAAGGAACAUCAGUGGCGAAGGCGACUUACUGGGCCAUUACUGACAGU
Molecule: ribosomal RNA, 400 nt
Filed under: uncultured bacterium
Lineage: Bacteria
Description: bacterial SSU rRNA
Rfam family: Bacterial small subunit ribosomal RNA
Source: RNAcentral